RNAcentral lists this ribosomal RNA (253 nucleotides) under uncultured bacterium. RNAcentral's name for it is "partial 16S ribosomal RNA". It matches the Rfam family "Bacterial small subunit ribosomal RNA", at positions 524 to 776 of the family's 1533-position model. The record is from RNAcentral.
UACGGAGGGAGCUAGCGUUGUUCGGAAUUACUGGGCGUAAAGCGCGCGUAGGCGGCUUUGUAAGUUAGAGGUGAAAGCCCGGAGCUCAACUCCGGAACUGCCUUUAAAACUGCAUCGCUUGAAUCCAGGAGAGGUGAGUGGAAUUCCGAGUGUAGCGGUGAAAUGCGUAGAUAUCUGGAGGAAUACCGGUGGCGAAGGCGGCAUCCUGGACCAUUACUGACGCUGAGGCGCGAAAGCUAGGGGAGCAAACGGG